CUGGAAAAUGCCUAUGAGGGGGAUAACUACUGGAAACGGUAGCUAAUACCGCAUAACGUCGCAAGACCAAAGAGGGGGACCUUCGGGCCUCUUGCCAUCGGAUGUGCCCAGAUGGGAUUAGCUAGUAGGUGGGGUAACGGCUCACCUAGGCGACGAUCCCUAGCUGGUCUGAGAGGAUGACCAGCCACACUGGAACUGAGACACGGUCCAGACUCCUACGGGAGGCAGCAGUGGGGAAUAUUGCACAAUGGGCGCAAGCCUGAUGCAGCCAUGCCGCGUGUAUGAAAAGGCCUUCGGGUUGAAAGACUUUCAGCGGGGAGGAAGGCGAUAAGGUAAAACCUUGUCGAUUGACGUACCCCAGAAAAGACCGCUACUCCUGCAGAGCCCGUAAACGAGGGCAGCGUAUCGAAUAUGGCGAAGGAGAGCGUUGCAGCGAGGAUCCCGGCCACUGGAUGAUCAAUGAGUAGUUGAGGGUAAUCGGACGGAUGUAAUUAGACGGGAGGCCUGAAAGCCGGAACGGAAAGAACCGUCCCACUCUAUGCUAGGUCGACUUCCGGAGCCAACAAGGCCAGGAGUUACAAAUUAAAAAUUGCGAACGGCCUUUCCCCUUCGGCAGGGACUCNNAUAAAAUCUUCCCCCACUGUUGGAUUACAUCCUUUGGUGCGUGGACACCUCUGACAAGCCCUGGUGUUAAGGAAAUAUUUCCGCAGCUCCGCUGUGGGUAUUAUAUGAACCCGCCUCUUUUAUCCCUCUAAAUAAACGGGGUGUGGAGGGAUAUCCGGCGGAGGAAUAGGAAUCGGGAGGCCCCUGAAACGCUUCAGGAAGUGGGCAAACAGUUAUUCCUGUUCACGCUUACGUUCGUUGGGGUUCCUGGGGGUUCGAACACCGUUAAUGGCGCUGGGAUACGCCCAAGUAAAUUAAAGAUGGCGGGCCGCCAAGGGGGACCUGGGUUUAUUCGAUGCAACGGGAGACCUUACUACUCUGACAUCCAGAGACUAGCAGAGAUGCUUUGGUGCCUUCGGGAACUCUGAGACAGGUGCUGCAUGGCUGUCGUCAGCUCGUGUGUGAAAUGUUGGGUUAAGUCCCGCAACGAGCGCAACCCUUAUCCUUGUUGCCAGCGGUUAGGCCGGGAACUCAAAGGAGACUGCCAGUGAUAAACUGGAGGAAGGUGGGGAUGACGUCAAGUCAUCAUGGCCCUUACGAGUAGGGCUACACACGUGCUACAAUGGCGCAUACAAAGAGAAGCGACCUCGCGAGAGCAAGCGGACCUCAUAAAGUGCGUCGUAGUCCGGAUUGGAGUCUGCAACUCGACUCCAUGAAGUCGGAAUCGCUAGUAAUCGUGGAUCAGAAUGCCACGGUGAAUACGUUCCCGGGCCUUGUACACACCGCCCGUCACA
This 1397-nucleotide ribosomal RNA is filed under the name uncultured Enterobacter sp. RNAcentral's name for it is "bacterial SSU rRNA". It matches the Rfam family "Bacterial small subunit ribosomal RNA", at positions 117 to 1401 of the family's 1533-position model. Lineage: Bacteria; Pseudomonadati; Pseudomonadota; Gammaproteobacteria; Enterobacterales; Enterobacteriaceae. The record is from RNAcentral.